Small nucleolar RNA from Dipodomys ordii (Ord's kangaroo rat), 68 nucleotides. Its record names the gene SNORD82. It matches the Rfam family "Small nucleolar RNA SNORD82". From Rfam's summary of the family: snoRNA U82 or Z25 is found in both humans and mice. U82/Z25 is a member of the C/D class of snoRNA which contain C (UGAUGA) and D (CUGA) box motifs. The record is from Ensembl. NCBI's taxonomy places the organism in Eukaryota, Metazoa, Chordata, Mammalia, Rodentia, Heteromyidae.
AUCACAAAUUAUGAAUGACAAAUGACUUAAUGCUGAAAUCUGACAUUGCAUCAUGAUAUGCCAUGUGU